This 300-nucleotide ribosomal RNA is filed under the name Triticum aestivum (bread wheat). Its description in RNAcentral is "partial small subunit ribosomal RNA". The record is from RNAcentral. Lineage: Eukaryota; Viridiplantae; Streptophyta; Magnoliopsida; Poales; Poaceae.
AUGCGGGUGCGGAUCGCGCUGCGUGAGCUAGGCGUGCCGUGCGAGUACGUCGAGGAGGACCUCCGCGUCCGCGAGAGGAGCGAUCUGGUGCGCCGCAUGAACCCUGUUCUCCACAUGGUACCCAUCUUGAUCCACCGCGGCCGUCCAGUCUGCGGCUCCGUCAACAUCGUCGAGUACAUCGACGAGGUCUGGGGUGAGGCCCGUUUGCUCCCCAGCAACCCAGUCGACAGGGCUCACGCUAGGUUCUGGGCUGACUUCGUUGACCACAAGGUGUUGGGCGCCCAAGUAAGGUUUCUCUAG